CGAAGGUGAAUAUUGAUGCAGGAGGAUUCGAGUUGAGUUAUGCUGAUCUGUUAGAUAGCUCAUUGAUGGCGCUGAGAUACCAUGAGAUGGCGGAUAGGCACAAAGAUGGAAAAUAAAUGCAAUAUUUCCUUAAUUGGGGGUAAUUUUGACACGUCUUUGGUAAUUUAGCCAUAACUUUGGCUACGGUUAUCAGAAUUGCUAUUAUGACCCCAAUCCGGAAAGCUCUCUUCGGCACGCACGUCAUGGCCACCUAGCUAUGCUCGAUGAGCUUCAAUUUUGAGCACAAAAUCUACUAUUUUCCUUUU
RNAcentral lists this long non-coding RNA (305 nucleotides) under Olea europaea subsp. europaea. The record is from RNAcentral. Lineage: Eukaryota; Viridiplantae; Streptophyta; Magnoliopsida; Lamiales; Oleaceae.